UACGUAGGGCGCAAGCGUUGUCCGGAAUUAUUGGGCGUAAAGAGCUCGUAGGCGGUUAGUCGCGUCUGCUGUGAAAACUCGGGGCUUAACUCCGGGCCUGCAGUGGGUACGGGCUGACUAGAGUGCGGUAGGGGAGACUGGAACUCCUGGUGUAGCGGUGAAAUGCGCAGAUAUCAGGAGGAACACCGGUGGCGAAGGCGGGUCUCUGGGCCGUAACUGACGCUGAGGAGCGAAAGCGUGGGGAGCGAACAGG
This 253-nucleotide ribosomal RNA is filed under the name uncultured bacterium. RNAcentral describes it as "partial 16S ribosomal RNA". It matches the Rfam family "Bacterial small subunit ribosomal RNA", at positions 524 to 776 of the family's 1533-position model. The record is from RNAcentral.